Molecule: ribosomal RNA, 762 nt
Filed under: Staphylococcus aureus
Lineage: Bacteria; Bacillati; Bacillota; Bacilli; Caryophanales; Staphylococcaceae
Description: partial 23S ribosomal RNA
Rfam family: Bacterial large subunit ribosomal RNA
Source: RNAcentral
UAAGCUGAGGCCGACAGGCGUAGGCGAUGGAUAACAGGUUGAUAUUCCUGUACCACCUAUAAUCGUUUUAAUCGAUGGGGGGACGCAGUAGGAUAGGCGAAGCGUGCGAUUGGAUUGCACGUCUAAGCAGUAAGGCUGAGUAUUAGGCAAAUCCGGUACUCGUUAAGGCUGAGCUGUGAUGGGGAGAAGACAUUGUGUCUUCGAGUCGUUGAUUUCACACUGCCGAGAAAAGCCUCUAGAUAGAAAAUAGGUGCCCGUACCGCAAACCGACACAGGUAGUCAAGAUGAGAAUUCUAAGGUGAGCGAGCGAACUCUCGUUAAGGAACUCGGCAAAAUGACCCCGUAACUUCGGGAGAAGGGGUGCUCUUUAGGGUUAACGCCCAGAAGAGCCGCAGUGAAUAGGCCCAAGCGACUGUUUAUCAAAAACACAGGUCUCUGCUAAACCGUAAGGUGAUGUAUAGGGGCUGACGCCUGCCCGGUGCUGGAAGGUUAAGAGGAGUGGUUAGCUUCUGCGAAGCUACGAAUCGAAGCCCCAGUAAACGGCGGCCGUAACUAUAACGGUCCUAAGGUAGCGAAAUUCCUUGUCGGGUAAGUUCCGACCCGCACGAAAGGCGUAACGAUUUGGGCACUGUCUCAACGAGAGACUCGGUGAAAUCAUAGUACCUGUGAAGAUGCAGGUUACCCGCGACAGGACGGAAAGACCCCGUGGAGCUUUACUGUAGCCUGAUAUUGAAAUUCGGCACAGCUUGUACAGGAUAGGUA